Long non-coding RNA from Marmota monax (woodchuck), 2763 nucleotides. RefSeq lists it as uncharacterized. The record is from RefSeq and is a predicted model, not a curated record. NCBI's taxonomy places the organism in Eukaryota, Metazoa, Chordata, Mammalia, Rodentia, Sciuridae. The transcript is spliced from 2 exons.
AAUGCUGCCAGGCUCAGAGGGGGAGUGACUUACCCUGGUCCACUAGGCAGUGGGGGCAGAGCCAGGGCAAGGAGCCCAGGGUACAUUUCCGCCAGGACCCCAGGGUGGGACUGUGAUCUUUGCCAUCCAGAGUCAAAGCUCAGAAGCGAAGGCCAGCUUGAGGGCAGUGGUAGCUUGAGAACUUCUUACUCCAGGAAUUUGCAGGCUGGUCUUGAAUUCCUCUUGGCAGAACAAACACUUAGACUGUCUUUGGGAUAAAAGGGUUUAUCCAUGGCAGUUGGAGCACGUGUUCAGGGGUUUGCUUUCUGGUUCUGCUAUAUACUGUUUACUGGGGAACACCACAGACCCUCUGACCUCAAUUUUUCCAUCUAUAAAAUGAGAACCAUAAUAGCAUGGAAGGACUUCUGUGAGAUACAGUGUCAGUCUUUGGAGUUGGACCUGCACAGUGCACAGAAUACAGGCUCAAUAGCUGUUUCUUUGUGAUUUGGGGGGCCCUGAUGGGGGUUGAGUCCUUGACAUUGCUAUGGCCCGAGUAUUGAAAGAGAGCAUUGGCCUUGCCCCUGCCCAGUCUCCAGCACCCACCAGGCUCUGGGUCCAUGCCAGUCUCCUGAAACUCUCUUCAUUGCUUUGAUGAUGGAAACCCUGGCCAGCAACCCUGGGGGUUGGAGUACAGGACACACAGAGGACUCUCCCAGGCUGUGCCCUUGGCAAGUGGCUGCACAGAACUGGAGUGUGAACCAGGGCUUCUACCUCUGGGGCCCACAGUUUAAAUUGCAUCGAAAUGGGAGAUAUUGAUGUCCCCAGGAAACUGAGGCCAGAGUGGCAAAUGCAUUUCCCCAAGGUCACAGAGCUGGUGACCUUGGGGUCAGAACAGAACUCUGCCCUGCAGCCCAUUGGACUCUGCAGCUGGAUCUCAUCCACCCAUCCCCUCCCUGCCUUUCUCUGUCUUCUGGGCUAUUCUAUGGGCAGGCGAGUUGGUCCCACCCCCUCAUUCUUUACCUCCUAGAUGGCUCUCCAGGCUUCCUGCCUCCCCACCACCCACAUCCACCUCAGCUCCCUGAGUCUAUUUUCCAUUUGAGAAAACUAGAGUGGAGCUCACAGGCCUAGAAGGUUCCACUGGGGGAGAAGAGCUCAGUGCAGCCCACCCAUCCCCCCAAGCCAGCAGGAACACCUUGUCCCCUGCACACUGUGGCCAAUUCAAACCCUUAUUCCUGGAGCCUGGCCUGGCUAAUAUGCUGGGCACAAGGUCAAAGUUUGCUGAAUCCAGGAAGCACGUCAUCAGCAGCCCUGGGAGCCAAAGGCUGGUGUCCAGUUCAACUGAGCAGGGGUUGUGACUAUGUUCUUCCUCCCCUCUGGACUUUGCUUCCAGAAACAUUGUGUGUCUGAGUCCCAUCUGGAUGCCUACAGGUGCCACUGCCAUCUGUGGGCAGAGCCCUGGGAGGGGAACGUGUGUAGCCCUGUGUCUGGAGCACCCUUGUUCCUCCCUGAUGCCACUAGCUCAGACUGGGCUCAGGUGAUAACAGAUUAGCAGCAGUGGGAUGUGGCCGUUACUCUCUGUGCCCAGCCUGGGCCAAGAGGUGGGUUCCAGGGACCUUGCUCAACGGUCACUCUAAACAGAUGGGCCAACCUGCACCACACCCUGAGGGGCAGAAAGGGUACACACUGGGGGCUGGGCUGGCACCCUGGAACCUGGAUUUCAGAAAUGAUAACAGUGGUUAUGCCCAGAGGUUUGCACAAGUGGCGGGUGGAGGUGGAGCUGGGUGGUAGAGCACUUGCCUACAUGUGUGAGGCCCUAGGUUUGAUCCUUGGCACCACAGCGGGGAGAAACACACACACACACACACACACACACACACAGUGUUUUUCCCUUCCCUGGGAUUUGGGCUGUUCUCUGCAGAGGGUGCCAACAACCCACCCCUGGCAAAAUCUUGGUGGACUCUGACUUGAUCCAGCGUCCCUCGCAGAGACCACUUCACAGGCUGCUGCAGGAAUGAGCAUGUGACCCCAUGGGCCUGAGGACUGGGAGCUUUGCUGGCUUCCUGUGACUUCACCUGGUGUACCUUUCCCUUUGCUCACUUGGCUCUGCAUUUUGGCUGUCGUGAAUCCCAGCGUGCGUGUGGCUGUAACCAGGACUGCAAGUGCUCCUAGCAAGUCACUGAACUGGGGCUGCUCUUGGGGACUUCUGGCGCUGUUAUGGCAGCCAUGGCAUCUCUACUCAGCCUGACACACUGGCGAUGACCCCGCCUGGUUCUACUGCUUCACAAGGCAGAAGCUUUGUUUGGGGAAUGAAAGGCUGAAAGUCAAGCAGCAGCUUCCCUUGGGUGGAGUGUGAGCGUCCCAGCGGCCGCAGCCCUGGCGCCCUGGCGCCCUCCUCCUUGGCACCCUGAUGGCCCAGGUGCCUGACACUGACUCCAAGCCGAAGUCAGGCACAGUUGCUUUGCCCAGUGAGUCAGAUCCUGACUCCAUGAUGGUGGCAGAUUGGAGUCACCCCUCUGUGGAGCCACAUAGGGCGAAAACACCUUGGAGCUGCUGGAUCACCUGGGUCACUUACAGAAGUCUUGAUGAAAGUGCUAAACAUGCCACCUAUUCUCACGACUUGAUGGAGGGUUAAAGGAAGAGGAACCAGUGCAGUCUUGUCGCUUGGAACCUUCAGCUUUUCCGAGUAUGGACUGCACAGUGUCUUCAUGCUGAUUUCCUUUUCAGUGCAUCUAAUUGCCCUUCCUGGUUCUGCAGCAAAUUGUAUUUACACGAUUUUCAUCAUAA